CUCAAGUGAAACUGACUCUGCUAGAACAGUGCCGUGCUUUUCCACAGAAGGUUAAACCCUGAGAGAGAUGGCUCAGCACCACCUAUGGAUCUUGCUCCUUUGCCUGCAAACCUGGCCGGAAGCAGCUGGAAAAGACUCAGAAAUCUUCACAGUGAAUGGGAUUCUGGGAGAGUCAGUCACUUUCCCUGUAAAUAUCCAAGAACCACGGCAAGUUAAAAUCAUUGCUUGGACUUCUAAAACAUCCGUUGCUUAUGUAACACCGGGAGACUCAGAAACAGCACCCAUAGUUACUGUGACCCACAGAAAUUAUUAUGAACGGAUACAUGCCUUAGGUCUGAACUACAAUCUGGUCAUUAGCGAUCUGAGGAUGGAAGAUGCAGGAGACUACAAAGCAGACAUAAAUACACAGGCUGAUCCCUACACCACCACUAAGCGCUACAACCUGCAAGUCUAUCGUCGGCUUGGGAAACCAAAAAUUACACAGAGUUUAAUGGCAUCUGUGAACAGCACCUGUAAUGUCACACUGACAUGCUCUGUAGAGAAAGAAGAAAAGAAUGUGACAUACAAUUGGAGUCCCCUGGGAGAAGAGGGUAAUGUCCUUCAAAUCUUCCAGACUCCUGAGGACCAAGAGCUGACUUACACGUGUACAGCCCAGAACCCUGUCAGCAACAAUUCUGACUCCAUUUCUGCCCGGCAGCUCUGUGCAGACAUCGCAAUGGGCUUCCGUACUCACCACACCGGGUUGCUGAGCGUGCUGGCUAUGUUCUUUCUGCUUGUUCUUAUUCUGUCUUCAGUGUUUUUGUUCCGUUUGUUCAAGAGAAGACAAGGUAGGAUUUUCCCAGAAGGUAAAAUGUGGAAACUCACCUUCUCUCCUCCUGGGAAUGACACCAUUUAUCCAAGGUUUAGCUGAAAGGUCCAUUGUUCCAGGGGAUCUGCCUUCUUCCAAUCUCCACCCCACCACCUCCCAGAAUGAUGGCUCUGAGGAUGGUAUGACAUUACCCUGAAUGGUCUUCAGAAUCCAUUCCUGAGAUCACCAGCAUCUGGUGGGCCCAGAACAUGGGUUUGAGCUUAGUACGUACAUGAACAAGCUGUGCUUCACUGUACGAGUGUGUUCACCUUUCCAGCUCAGGGCCCUCACAUGUGAAAUGUUUGGACUAGAGGAUCUCCAGGGUCACUUCCAAUUUCAUUGUAUUUUGAUAAUGACUAUUGGAGAGUCAUUGAGAAACAUAUACUAAUCCUGUACUCCAUGGUUGUCACUAGGUCCCUCUGAAUCCCUCUGGAUCAUUCUGUAGUUGCGC
Molecule: small RNA, 1298 nt
Filed under: Pongo abelii (Sumatran orangutan)
Lineage: Eukaryota; Metazoa; Chordata; Mammalia; Primates; Hominidae
Description: retained intron
Source: RNAcentral